RNAcentral lists this long non-coding RNA (520 nucleotides) under Oryza sativa (Asian cultivated rice). RNAcentral's name for it is "long non-coding RNA (OSAT_LNC001158)". The record is from RNAcentral. Lineage: Eukaryota; Viridiplantae; Streptophyta; Magnoliopsida; Poales; Poaceae.
CAUUAUCCUUGUCCUGCCUCUACGAGCUUACCGCCUCCUGCAAGCACAGCAGCUGAUCCUGCCUCACACAAUGGUCAGUCAGGAAUUCAGAUGCCUCCACCAUUGCCCCAAUUUCAACCUGGGGCCAGUUUACCAUCAUGGAACUCAUCACCUAUGCCAUCAUCUGCAAAUGGCGCUCCUGCUAGCACAACAACAGCUGAUCCUGGCUCACACAAUGGUCAGUCAGGAAUUCAGAUGCCACCACCGUUGCCCCAAUAUCAACCUGGGGCCAGUUUACCGUCAUGGAACUCAUCACCUAUGCCAUCAUCUGCAAAUGGUGCUGGCCUUACUAUGCCACCAAUGUACUGGCCAGGAUUUUAUACACCACCAAGUGGGUUUCCUCAUUUGCAACAACCGCCCUUUCUUCGUCCACCACAUGGCUUGACAAUUCCACAGGCCUUGCAGCAGCCCAUACAGUAUCCUGGACUUAAUGCACCUUUACCACCUUUUCCUAGAAUGCCAGAGUUUGCUUUACCACAAC